UUUCUUUUAGGAAUCUAUUUAAAGUUUAACCUGCCCACUGAUUAAUUAAAUGGCCGCAGUAUUUUAACUGUGCAAAGGUAGCAUAAUCAUUAGUCUUUUAAUUGAAGGCUAGAAUGAAUGGUUGAACGAAAAAUUAACUGUUUUAAAUGUAUUAUUAUAAAAAUUGACUUUUUAGUUAAAAGGCUAAAAUAUAAUUAAAAGACGAAAAGACCCUAUAAAUCUUAAUAUUUAAAUUAUAAUAGUUAUUUAGAAUAUUUAUGUUAUAAUAAUUUAUAAUAUUUUAUUGGGGUGAUAUUAAAAUUUAUAAAACUUUUAAUAAUAAUUUACAUUAAUUAAUGGAUUAUAGAGCUAUUUUAUGAUUAUUAAAAUAAGUUACUUUAGGGAUAACAGCGUAAUUUUUUUGGAAAGUUCAUAUUAAUAAAAAAGAUUGCGACCUCGAUGUUGGAUUAAGAUAUAGAUUUAGAAGCAGU
RNAcentral lists this ribosomal RNA (470 nucleotides) under Phoridae sp. H20. RNAcentral's name for it is "partial 16S ribosomal RNA". Lineage: Eukaryota; Metazoa; Arthropoda; Insecta; Diptera; Phoridae. The record is from RNAcentral.